Molecule: long non-coding RNA, 2283 nt
Organism: Ctenopharyngodon idella (grass carp)
Lineage: Eukaryota; Metazoa; Chordata; Actinopteri; Cypriniformes; Xenocyprididae
Exons: 4
Source: RefSeq, a predicted model, not a curated record
UAAUUAAAAUGUAACUUUUAAAAAAUGUAAAUAAUUAAUCACAUUUUCCUUUCCUUAAUGUAUUAUGAUUUCUAUAGAAGUGGACAUUACACCGAAACAUUUAAUAACACAAAACCACAAUUAAUUAAUCAACCUGAUUUUGUUCAAAUAUUUAGAUGACUUUGUUUUAUUUAUAAGAGUGGAAUUGCAAUGGGAGUAAAUGCAUUUCUAAAAUGUUGUUUUGUCUUUGUUCUUCAUAGGGUAGUAACCUAAGCUGUCCUGCGCUUGGCGUUUUAAUGUGUCCAUUCCUGUUCUUGAUUGCACUCCGAGGUCACCAGGAUCUAAAGUCACUGGAAGCAGUUAAAAUAAUAGGAGCUGACCACAUGUUGGAGGUUAUGAGAUGCGGCCCCCCGACAUACAGAGGAGCCGCUGUUGGGAACACUGCUGUUGUGUCUCGCUGACCUGUUUGUUUAAAACUUAUACAAAUAUUUGUGUAAACUGAUUUACAGCAAACAUUUGAUGCAAGUUAUUGCUGAUAUUUGAAUACAAAUACACAAAAACCCACAUAAACUAAGCUCUUUUUCUUUCCAUUUUUUAGAUGACUCUGCUUCUUUUCGUGUAAUGGUCAAACAGCAGAGCGUGGAGCCGGCAACACUAAGCAUGCUCUGCCGGUGACAUAGAUGUCAGGUCAUUGUCAGGAAACGGGGCCAUUUCUGCACUGCAUAUCCCAUGACAUACUACAGCAUGGCGGUGACGGCAGGACCCUUGUGUAUCUCAAUCACUUUUUAUUCGCCCCCUUCUCCCAUAUCUAUCUCAUAACUCCAGACACCAGCACACAGCGGCUGUUUGCUCUGGUCUGUGGAGCAGCGAUGAAGAAGCAUCACAGAUGAGAUCACGUAUCUCAAAAAGAUUCAGUUGAGACUGCUUGCUUGUGAGAAAAGACUCCAGUAAUCCUGCGUUUGAAGUAUGCAAUCAAAAGUAAAAGAUCUCAGUAUGAAGUCAAAUACUUCUCAUCAAAUUAUCUGAUAAUGCUAUUAGCAUUCAUUUUAUAGCUAUGUGUGUCAACAAUGGUCUCAUGUAUUUAUUUUUUGUUUCUUAAGGAAUCGUACUAGAAACUUCUAAGACAUACAUAAAUUAAACAUAAAUGAGAUUCAAGUAGUUUUUAUAUACUGCAAAAUGCUUUGUUUUAUGCACUUUCUGUAAAAAUGUCUUUUAUGUGUAUUAUACAGUAUACAUGCAUAUAUUAAUUGUCUGGAAAUGCGUUAUGUUCUUCCAGCGAGUGUUUUCCUUCAUUAGGAUGGUGUGACAGACAGGCAUACAGCUGAUGGGGGAGUUUAUGGUGAGAAGUGUCCUCGGCAGGGGUCUCCGUUGACUGUGUGGCCCUUUCUCCCCCUCACACUUUUAUUGUUUGUUGAUGGAAGCAGUUGUCAUACUCUGGCAAUAACAAAAGCAGGCCCAUCACUCUGUUUACCUCUGCACAGGAACCAAUGGGCAAUUCUCCAUUAAAUUACAGCCAUGUGUGGAAUCCAGAUGCGUCUCCCCCCUCCAUCUCCUCACACACGCAUUUAAAAGUUGGUGUGAGAUUCAGUAGCUUAUUUUGCCUUCCUUCCUUCUUUCUUUUUCUUUCUUUGUGAAUUUUCAAGAAACAUUUCUUAUUAUUAUUAAUGUUGAAAACAGUUGUGCUCCUUAAUAUUUUUAUAGAGACAGUGAGACUUUUUUUUCAGGAUUCUUUGAUAAAUAGAAAGUUCAAAAGAACAGUGUUUAUUUAAAAUAGAAAUCUUUUGUAACAUUAUAAUGUUUACUGUGACUUCUAAUCAAUUUAAUGUGUCCUUGCUAAAAACAAAAUAUGCAUUUCUUAAAAAAAAAAAAAAAACAUCUUACUGGCCCCAAACUUUGAAUGUUAGGUAAUACUGUAAGAGAAAAAAUAUCAAAAAUAUGUAUUUCUUAUAUAUUAAACUACAUUUCUUUCAUUUUUUCUAUAUUUCAUGUUAAAAAAUCCUUUCACAGUACAAAAAUGUUGACUGUAUGUGAUGUGGUGCAGUAUUUUCCUGCUGAAAAACAUUCUUUUAUCUUCUUCAUCCUCACAACAAUAAACUUCAGAACACUUUAAAUGUAACAGGGUUAGAUUUUCAAAAACACAUUUUGAAAGAAAUGUUUCAUUUAAGUAUCCAUUUGUGUCUCAGAUGUUUAUUCUAAAAUUCUUUAGGAGUAUAGACACAAAUGAGAUGAUGCUGACAUACAGUAUAAUCAUUUAGAGCUAUAAAAUUUAUAUGGAUAACAGCUCAGAUCAUUUAAUACACUCUU